GACGAACGCCGGCGGCGUGCUUAACACAUGCAAGUCGAACGAAGAGCGAUGGAAGCUUGCUUCUAUCAAUCUUAGUGGCGAACGGGUGAGUAACGCGUAAUCAACCUGCCCUUCAGAGGGGGACAACAGUUGGAAACGACUGCUAAUACCGCAUACGAUCUAAUCUCGGCAUCGAGGAUAGAUGAAAGGUGGCCUCUACAUGUAAGCUAUCACUGAAGGAGGGGAUUGCGUCUGAUUAGCUAGUUGGAGGGGUAACGGCCCACCAAGGCGAUGAUCAGUAGCCGGUCUGAGAGGAUGAACGGCCACAUUGGGACUGAGACACGGCCCAGACUCCUACGGGAGGCAGCAGUGGGGAAUCUUCCGCAAUGGACGAAAGUCUGACGGAGCAACGCCGCGUGAGCGAUGACGGCCUUCGGGUUGUAAAGCUCUGUUAAUCGGGACGAAAGGCCUUCUUGCGAAUAGUGAGAAGGAUUGACGGUACCGGAAUAGAAAGCCACGGCUAACUACGUG
This 510-nucleotide ribosomal RNA is filed under the name uncultured bacterium. RNAcentral's name for it is "partial 16S ribosomal RNA". It matches the Rfam family "Bacterial small subunit ribosomal RNA", at positions 28 to 507 of the family's 1533-position model. The record is from RNAcentral.